AACGCGAAGAACCUUACCUGGGCUCGAAUGUUGUGGACCGUGGUGGAACAUCACUUCCCCGCAAGGGCGUGCAAUAUAGGUGCUGCAUGGCUGUCGUCAGCUCGUGUCGUGAGAUGUUGGGUUAAGUCCCGCAACGAGCGCAACCCUUAUCCCUAGUUGCCAUCGGGUCAAGCCGGGCACUCUAGUGAAACUGCCUCGGAUAACGAGGAGGAAGGUGGGGAUGACGUCAAGUCCUCAUGGCCUUUAUGUCCAGGGCUACACACGUGCUACAAUGGUCGGUACAAACCGUCGCAAACCCGUGAGGGGGAGCUAAUCGGAAAAAGCCGGCCUCAGUUCGGAUUGGAGUCUGCAACUCGACUCCAUGAAGCUGGAAUCGCUAGUAAUCGCGGAUCAGAACGCCGCGGUGAAUACGUUCCCGGGCCUUGUACACACCGGAGUA
This 439-nucleotide ribosomal RNA is filed under the name uncultured bacterium. Its description in RNAcentral is "bacterial SSU rRNA". It matches the Rfam family "Bacterial small subunit ribosomal RNA", at positions 958 to 1398 of the family's 1533-position model. The record is from RNAcentral.